AAUGAACGUUGGCGGCGUGGAUUAGGCAUGCAAGUCGAGCGCGAACCGUAGCAAUACGGGGAGAGCGGCGAAAGGGAGAGUAAUACGUGGAUACCUGCCCUCGGGUUCGGGAUAGCUACGGGAAACUGUAGGUAAUACCGAAUAACAUCUUCGGAUCAAAGGUGUGAUUCCGCCCGGGGAGGGGUCCGCGUCCUAUUAGCUAGUUGGUGAGGUAACGGCCCACCAAGGCGAAGAUGGGUAUGGGGUGUGAGAGCAUGACCCCACUCACUGGGACUGAGACACUGCCCAGACACCUACGGGUGGCUGCAGUCGAGAUUCUUCGGCAAUGGGGGAAACCCUGACCGAGCGACGCCGCGUGCGAGAUGAAGGCCUUCGGGUUGUAAAUCGCUGUCAGGGGGGAGGAAAUGCCGGGAAGUAAUUCAUAAUCAACUCGGUUUGACCUAGCCUCAGAGGAAGGACGGGCUAAGUUCGUGCCAGCCGCCGCGGUAA
This 489-nucleotide ribosomal RNA is filed under the name uncultured bacterium. RNAcentral's name for it is "partial 16S ribosomal RNA". It matches the Rfam family "Bacterial small subunit ribosomal RNA", at positions 29 to 523 of the family's 1533-position model. The record is from RNAcentral.